AGACUUACCUGGCAGGAGAGAUACCAUGAUCAUGAAGGUGAUUUUCCCAGGGCGAGUCUUAUCCAUUGCACUCCAGAUAUGCUGACCCCUGUGAUUUCCCCAAAUGUGAAAAACUCAACUGCAUAAUUUGUGGUAAUGGAGGACUGCAUUUGCGCUCUCCCCUG
This is a small nuclear RNA of Ochotona princeps (American pika), 164 nucleotides long. Its record names the gene U1. It matches the Rfam family "U1 spliceosomal RNA". From Rfam's summary of the family: U1 is a small nuclear RNA (snRNA) component of the spliceosome (involved in pre-mRNA splicing). The record is from Ensembl. NCBI's taxonomy places the organism in Eukaryota, Metazoa, Chordata, Mammalia, Lagomorpha, Ochotonidae.